This 1038-nucleotide long non-coding RNA is filed under the name Betta splendens (Siamese fighting fish). RNAcentral describes it as "lncRNA (ENSBSLG00000017545.1)". The record is from RNAcentral. Lineage: Eukaryota; Metazoa; Chordata; Actinopteri; Anabantiformes; Osphronemidae.
UAAAAAACAAAAAAAAACGUGAAAAUUAUUGAACUUACAAAUGCCAUUAAACAGUGAAAACACGUGACAUUAUGAGGAGCCCAGCACCACAGCUUUGCCCACAGGCCGCCGGUGAAAACCCAGAGAGCUUUGACACUAUGAUGAAUGACCGCACAAAUGCGGAAGCGACCGCAAAAUAGAGCAAUGAAUAAAUAACAGUGUGUAUUAAAGCCAGUUAUUGCCUACUGCACUUUACCCGUACCCAAAAACACGAAUUAUAAGCUCCUCAACUGUACCUGCAUUGAUGAACUUUAGACUCGUCAACAAUAGCUAAGCAAAUAAGAAUGACAACUUAGCGGACUUUAUCGAUCGAGGCGCACACACUGCGCUCUCUUCCGCAUUGAAGCGGCGCUUACUGACGGACGCGGCGCAAAGCCCAUCUCACGGUGAUCUUUAUAAAUUAUUAGCGCGGCAUGCUGCCGCAGAGGACGGGACGGAACGGUCCCGGAAAACGCCGCAGAUCUGUAAAUGAUGUCACUGCUAGCGCGCAGCGGCUUUGACCCAUCCACGUUGUUUGGAAACCAGACGUUACGCGCGGCGUCGCCCUUAGUCGCAAUACGCAAACGGGAACUUAACGUCAUUCAGAGCCACGGUUGUCGCCCCCACUCGGUCAGGAGGGAAACUACAAGUAAACGCAGAGCAACAUAUCAUUGGUUUAGACUCAAACUGACCAUGAAAGCGCCGCAGCCUCAGAAGCCCUGUUGGUGUAGAAUGAAGAAAACGAGGCCUGUCAGCAGAGAGGAAGCAAUGUCUGAAACAGUGGAUGUGGAAGAGAGACAGCAAAAGUCCAGAUUCAGCUUUGACACUGUCCUACAAUGCACCCUCAUCCUUGUGAAAGUGGCUCUGUGGAUCAUCUCGAUAUGGAUCUUGUCGUACCUCCACAUGGGGGCCUCGUGCUUCCUCCUUUCACUGGCCGUCUGGAUGUAUUCAGUGCCAAUGGAGCAUGUUUUGAAGUGGUCUAAGAGGCGCUUGCUUAGGAAAAGGCAUGUGAACAUAUAA